RNAcentral lists this long non-coding RNA (1112 nucleotides) under Gopherus agassizii (Agassiz's desert tortoise). RNAcentral's name for it is "lncRNA (ENSGAGG00000004764.1)". Lineage: Eukaryota; Metazoa; Chordata; Testudines; Testudinidae. The record is from RNAcentral.
GGAGCGAGGGGGCGUCUUGCGGAAGGGAAGAGACGACGGGGGUGUGUGAAGGGGGGGCUGCACGUGGAGGAGGGGCCAUGUCCUAUCUCUCUGCUCAUGCCAUCCCAGAAUGCCUUGCUCCCCCACACCUCCCCUCCCACUUUGUACAUAUCCAGGUGUGGUGAGUUCAUGCGGAUUCCUGUGCUUUCAAAUCUCUCUUGUUGGCGUCCGGCGGAGCUUGAUUAUGGCGUCCAUCAAAGGGAUCGUUACUGUGGACGUCUUCAUUGAUUACUCAGAAAGCGUCUUCUCAUAAAGGCGCGCAACCCUCAAGGGCUGGGCGAAGCACGACAGUCGGUCCUUGGCGUUACAGAUACCUCGGGGAUGGCGGAUGUUCAGAACCCUAAACAAAACGUUCUGGUUCUUUCUGAAGUUUACAACUGAACAUUGACUAACGCAGCUUUGAAACUUCCUGUGCAGAAGGAAAAUGUGGCUUUCCCUUGAUUUUUUUUUACUAGUUUACGCUUAACACAGCGCUGUUCUGUGCAGUAUUUGUUUUUGGUCUCAGCUGUGGNUUACUAGUUUACGCUUAACACAGCGCUGUUCUGUGCAGUACUUGAUUGUGUACUGCUGGUUCCAAACAGGGGUGUGGUUGACUGGUCAGUUUGUAACUCGGGGGUUCGUAACUCAGAGGUUCUACUGCAUCAUGGGAUCUUUCAAAUAGGAAGCCCCAAGACUAGGUGGAACGAGUGGUUACGUGGCUGGAUUAUCUGAAUCUGGAUUAUCUAUUUGGGACAGAGGUCAUCUGAAAAAUAUAUUUAUCUUCCGACCCCCUGUAUUAGCUAUUCUGAGCAUCGGGCUGUGGAAUCAGCACCACGGGGUUAGGAGGGUUGUCUAGUCUCACCCCCAGAACUCAAGACCAAAUGCGAAUCAUUUAUAACCCAGUGGAGACCAGCUUUAAGCCCGUAACUGAAGGCACUGAGGGCUGACUGCGAUCCCUGCAGUACGGGGUGUGUGAUAUGCGUGACACUGCCACGCUGCUUAACCGCACGCAAGCAAAAUCAAAUGAAUAAUUAAUAAUUGCUAAUACUUCAUUGCAACAGGUAAUAAAAAGGUAAACAAUGAUUUCUGCUGCA